AUGUCCCUUGGUCUCUAAGAAGCCAGUAUAGUCAUCUGGGUCCCUGAUCCAUGGUUUCUCCUUGGUUGUAAACUCCAAACCAGCUUGAGCUUAUGGUGAAUGCAUCUGGGCAUCCUUGAUUCUGGAGGGUCCAGAACUUCCUCUGCCCAAUCAUCUGCAGCUAGGAUCAGGUUCAGACAAUGUAUGCCAGGCACAGCUUGCGAAAGACCAGAAUGACAUGUUAGUGUGUGUGAGCAGGUGGCCCAGACCUUGUGGCACAAUCAUGUUAUCAUCUCCCUCUGUCUAUGCUGACAGCCUUGGCAGUCCUGACAGACAGAUGUUGGGGAGCCAUGACUUCAAACAGUUCCCAGUCGAAAGAAGACUGUGGAGAACAUUGCAACUACCGGAAAACUGGCUGGGAAAGGAAAAGUUCUCUCCAGACCAUUUAAAACAACUGAGUGUUAUUUCCUGACCUGGACAACAGUCAGAAGAACGGACCUGUGCCUUCUAUUUUCAACCUACAGUCCUUUUCUUCACUAGGAGGACAUUUGGAACUGUGCAUCUCCCUGCUGCUAUAAAACAGAAACACAUGAUCCAGAAAAGCAAAGCAACUGUCAGUCAAAGCCCUGGAAGCCCACAAUGGAGCAUGGUAGGCAGUUCCCUUCUGAAAUCUUCCAGCAGGAGGCUCUGGGAUCUUACUAAGCUGGAAGCUGAGAUUCUUGGGGACUUUGCAAGCCACCGAGUCAACACAAAUAAAACCAUUCAUUACUCCA
Mesocricetus auratus (golden hamster) is the source of this 752-nucleotide long non-coding RNA. RefSeq lists it as uncharacterized. The transcript has 2 exons. The record is from RefSeq and is a predicted model, not a curated record. Lineage: Eukaryota; Metazoa; Chordata; Mammalia; Rodentia; Cricetidae.